GCAGUCGUGGCCGAGUGGUUAAGGUGAUGGACUAGAAAUCCAUUGGGGUCUAAAUCCAUUGGGGUCUCCCCGCACAGGUUUGAAUCCUGUCAACUGCA
RNAcentral lists this transfer RNA (98 nucleotides) under Ixodes scapularis (black-legged tick). It matches the Rfam family "tRNA". Rfam says of the family: Transfer RNA (tRNA) molecules are approximately 80 nucleotides in length. Their secondary structure includes four short double-helical elements and three loops (D, anti-codon, and T loops). Lineage: Eukaryota; Metazoa; Arthropoda; Arachnida; Ixodida; Ixodidae. The record is from Rfam by way of RNAcentral.